UCCCCCCCUUAAGAACAUUCGUCCCCGAAUGUUCCUCAACUAGCACAUAGCAUGGCAUACAACAUAACAUACACAUAAAACACAUAAGAGGCUAACCUUAGAAAAGAUAAGGGUAUUGCUGGAGCAUGGACUCCCGUGUCUCCCAAGUGCAUUCUUCUAUAUUGUGGUGGUUCCACAGGACUUUCACCAUCGGGAUUUCCUUGUUUCUUAGCUUUCUGAUCUGGGUGUC
This 229-nucleotide long non-coding RNA is filed under the name Manihot esculenta (cassava). Its description in RNAcentral is "long non-coding RNA (MESC_LNC012070)". Lineage: Eukaryota; Viridiplantae; Streptophyta; Magnoliopsida; Malpighiales; Euphorbiaceae. The record is from RNAcentral.